Drosophila gunungcola (fruit fly) is the source of this 4257-nucleotide long non-coding RNA. RefSeq lists it as uncharacterized. The transcript is spliced from 4 exons. NCBI's taxonomy places the organism in Eukaryota, Metazoa, Arthropoda, Insecta, Diptera, Drosophilidae. The record is from RefSeq and is a predicted model, not a curated record.
GCCUCCGCCGCGAACGGGAACGGGAACUUCUUAUUCGUAUUUGGUCGGCUCUCUUCGGCUCUCCGACUAAUCGGCCAUAGCUUUGCUCGCUCGCUGGCUGCGGAACUUCAUUCAUUCGCGCUGCGCGUCUCGUCUGUACCGGUUGCCUCCUGGCUCUCUCCUGCCUCUCCUCUCUCCGCCCGCCGCCCCCUCACUCACACAAUUGUUAAGCAAAGACAAAGGCAGUAGCACACACACUCAGUGCUCCAGCGAAAUAAGUGCAAAAAUCAGAGAAAAUAUUCAAAAUCCAAGGCGAAUAAAAUAUACAAAAAGUGAACAAUCAGCCAAAAAAGUCUGGGGCCCAGCCAAUGCGUCAUUCCCGCAGUCAGUCGCUCAAUCCGGCAAAAAGAGCUAUCGCCACAGACACUCACUCACACUCACUGGCACAGUUGCAAUUACCAAGUGCGAACGGCAGGCCAGACAUCGCACACAUACACGCAUACACCCAUACAGUCGAACAUCUAUAAACCCAGAAAAGGCAUUAUAGAACCGAGAUUUUACUGUAGAGAUCGGAACUAAAACGCAGGGCAGUGCGGUUCUUCAAAACAAGUUCCUAGAAUUUUAAUUACUUACUAGAAAGUACGUAAAACUUGGCAUUUGGCUGAAAAGUAUCUUUAGAAAUGGGCCAAUAGCUCUGUUUUCCAAUCAAGUUUGAAUAUGGUUGGUCAGUUGUAGAUCUUACUGAAUAAAUAAUGUGAAAUCUUAGCUAUCUUGUCGUGCAAGGAUAAUAUUAUGGAAAUUUCUAGAGCUAAAUUUACUGUGUGUGAAAGUAUACAAAGCUGGGCGAUAACCAUAUUUUUGCUUGUAGUUAAGUAUUGACAAAGGUCCAUAACUCUUUAGUUAUUGGCAAAACAUCAUGCUGCCCUAUAAUGUCUUUCAGUACUAGCAAACAAUCAGAAUGCUUAUAAGGCAAUAAGGCUUAAAUUUACUAAGUAGCUUGUUUGAAAGUCUUAUAUUCCAGUGCUUAUACCUUGUUAUGCAGGAUAUGAUUAUAAAGCCAGUUACGCAUGAUUAUAUAGCGGCUCAGACAUGUAGGGUGUUUAGAUGCCGAAACGCUUUAGGCCCAUUCAAGGCUAUACAAAAUCAGACUAGUAAUACCAGCUUGGGCGGAUUUUCCCGCUGUGUAGAUUGGCAGACAGAAGGUAGACUGUAACCGCCGUGGGAGGGGCGUGGAAUAGUUAUCAGCCUGCGACUCAAAGUCAAACUCAAACUCAAGCCCAAACCCAACCUCAGAAACAGAAACAGACUCAAAAUCAGACUGCGGCUGAAACUGAGACGCCGCUGCCGGCGUUGUUGUCUGAAAUUUAACACACACAAUACACACACCGAUACACCGCCACUCCGCCACACCGCCACACACGCCCAUUUGCACACAUGGCCAACCGGAUGUUGCAGCCAUCUUUGUCAUCUUUUUCAAUCUCAGCCUUGGCUAAGGUCGCUCCUGCCACCCGAUGCCCCCCAUUCCAUUAGAUUCCGUUCCAAGCCAUCCAAGUUGCCCGAAAGAGACGGGGCAAGAAAGAGCCGAGUGGCUGCCGUGAAGUCGUGAAUUUAUAACAAAACGCUAGACUCGGCGACUCUGACCGACUGGUUUGGCGUGUUGGCCCGGCUAAAAUGGAUUUUUUAUGGCUACAACAAGCAAACAGAACAGCAACAACUGAAUCAAAAGCAUAAAAAUGCCGCAACCCGAAAACCCGCAAACCCGCAACACGAAAUUCUGAAUGGGCACCAUCUGAAUUUUCGAAAAUUGAACGAGCCAGUUGGAGAGUUGGCCAAUAGAGCGAGAGAGAGAGGGACAGAGCGAGAGUGAGAGGGAGGGGAAGAGGCCCGACGAUAAGGAAAAAGCGGAUAUGUCUUUUGGGGUAUGUUGGCUUGGCAAAGAUGGAAAUCUUAAUGCAGACGGAUGGAUGGAAAUGGAAAUGGAGAUGGCAAAGGCAAAGUCGAGCAACACAACUCAGGCACUUCCGGAAUGGAUGGCUCGACUCCUGACUCCAAAACCGACUUGACUCCGGGAUCUUGGCACAACUCGAGUCGGACGCUUCAGAGUGAACCAAGCCCCACUGCUCCCACUUCCCGGAUGCCGCAUAAGGCAGCAUAAAACACACUCGCACACACACUGAAACACUGGAAAAGCAGAAGCCUUGGCUCGGCGAGGAGUUAAUUUGAAUUUUAUAGCAGUCAAGUUGUGUAAUUUCAGCACCCAAACCUACAUCGCCUGGCAUAUAACGUAUACGAGCCGUAGUACAAGUAGAGGCGUUGAGCAACACAUGUUGCCAAUGCAGCAGUGGGCGUGCCAUGUAGUUGCAUGUGUGGGUGAGUGGGUUUCUUUUAUUUUUUCUUUCUAUAUUUUUUUUCUCCAAGCUACUUUUCAACAAUUUUCCUUGCCAACUGACGGAUGAGAAUGCAGAGCACUGAGAGCGAAAAGUUUUUCAAUUUCUUCAACUGCAUUCGGAGAAAAAAAAAGAAAGGGGGAGACAAGGCUACAGACCAUGUUUGCUCGGCUACAAGUUAAUCUGGCCAGAGACUCAACUUUGCCAUCCGUCUUGGCAAAGUGAAGAGGCGCAGAAUGUGUGUGCAGAUUCAGUUUCAGUUCCAGUUCAUUCUGCAGCGCAGCAUUCCUCUUCGUUAUUUUUUUUGCCGCAGCCAACUUCUAAUUUUGUUACAAAUUACACAUGUAAUGCAUAUGAAGGGGCAUCCACAAUUUAUUAGCUGCAAAUGGUCGACUCAAGGAGUCUGCCCCGCUUUUAUCUGUUUGCCCUCGGGUUUCGGGGCUCAAUUACAAGCCAAGUUUAUCCGGCUGCCAAUAAGCUCAAGUUUAUGGUCUGCAGCUCUCGGCAAUUAAGUUAAGCCGCCCAAAAGAAUGUGCUUUCUCGAAAAGAAGAGAAGAGUUUUCGUUAGCCAGGAUGAGUGUGUGUGAAAAUUGAAUAUUCCGCAUGCCACAUAAAUUGAAAGGAAUGGAAAAGCGAAAAGUGCAGCAGACUGCUUAUUAAAUUAUGUCGGCCCUGCUGCUUGGGAAACUUUCUGCUUCUCGUCCAUAUUAAAAUUGUUGGCAAUCUUUUGCCUCUUUCACUGCUGCAAAUGGCCUGGCUGUCGCAGCAAUUAUUUCAUUAUGUGUGUGGCUCGGCCAAAGCAAACUGCAGAUUCCAGAAGCCCGGAUUCUAUAUUCCGGAUUCCAAGGCUCUUUUUGGAAAUUAUGCACUUGCAAACUUUUGCAACAUUCCGGCAGACAAAAAGGCGUUUCAUUGUUAUUAUCAUAAUUGCAUAAAGAACGCCUCUUUCUCGGUGGCAAAAAGAUUUUAGGCGCCGCUUGCCGACGACAGUUUGGCAUUUUUGGACACGACUAAGCGCCUUAUUUGGCUUUGCAUUUGGCCAAGUCAGUUUUAAUUAGUGCAAGCUCCUGUAAAGUGGCAGUUCCAUUAAUUUCCCUUCGCCAGCACGUGUCUCCUGGCAUUUUGCUCAGACUUCCGAUUUUUCUCCCUCACGCAUCAUUAAACGCGCCCAAAGCGAAGCACACGCAAAUUAAAGUGCCACAUAAUUUGGCCAGCACCACGCCCAAGGCAAAAAAGGCCGAAAAGCAAACAGGGAUUGGGUUUUUCCUGCUCAUUUUCCUCGGAUGUGAGUGAUUAUAAAUAAGAGAUUCCGCAGAGGGCCGGCCCCCGACCAAUUUGGUUUAUUUGCCCUUCUCCGCCAGCCAACAUCAUUGAUUGUAUCAAAUGGCUUGCUAAAUGUUGACUCUCUGAACGCUUUGUCUCGUUUGGCGGAAGCGGAUAUGUCCAGCGCCCGGAGGGGGCGUGGCGUAUUUAUGGGGCAGCUGCACUGAAGCGGUCGCAUUUCAAACUUGUCCCGCUCGAGGCGUUCGCCUGUCAUCCUGCCACGCCGCACUGCCUGCCGCAGGACACGAGUUGCGUGCCGCACUCAAACACUUGGCCCUUGUCGCUCCUGUUUCAAAUAUGCGCCUUUCGCCGCCGGAAGUGCGUGGAAUGACGCGGCCCGAAACUUGGCCUUGUGGCUCCCAAAUUAUCCGCACCCUAUUUGCAUAUGCCCCGGGAAGUAGUGGGGUAUCAAAAAAUAUGGGAAUCAAGAGUAUAAGCUUAGAUUUCAACACUUAAGCCAUUCAGCUUACUUUUUUACUAUUUUUAACAUUUUUUUAAGUAAUAAAAAAGUUUACAAUUUGAUCAUAAAUUUUUGUUUGAUACCUGUCUUUAAACAUGACCUUUAAGA